CGAAGCCGGAAUCGCUAGUAAUCGCGGAUCAGAAUGCCGCGGUGAAUACGUUCCCGGGUCUUGUACACACCGCCCGUCACACCAUGGGAGUCAGUAACGCCCGAAGUCAGUGACCCAACCUGAAAGGGAGGGAGCUGCCGAAGGCGGGACGGAUAACUGGGGUGAAGUCGUAACAAGGUAUC
RNAcentral lists this ribosomal RNA (182 nucleotides) under uncultured bacterium. Its description in RNAcentral is "partial 16S ribosomal RNA". It matches the Rfam family "Bacterial small subunit ribosomal RNA", at positions 1321 to 1500 of the family's 1533-position model. The record is from RNAcentral.